Molecule: long non-coding RNA, 284 nt
Filed under: Homo sapiens (human)
Lineage: Eukaryota; Metazoa; Chordata; Mammalia; Primates; Hominidae
Description: HSALNT0313422
Source: RNAcentral
CACACUGUCUUCUGCAAUGGAUGAACUAAUUUACACUCUCAACAACAGUGUAUAAGCAUUCCUUUUGCUCUGCAACCUCACCAGACAUCUGGACGCGCAUGAAAUUUGGUGCCGUGACUCGGAUCGGCGGACCUCCCUUAGGAGAUCAAUCCCCUGUCCUCCUGCUCUUUGCUCCAUGAGAAAGAUCCACCUACGACCUAAGGUCCUCAGACCAACCAGCCCAAGAAACAUCUCACCAAUUUCAAAUCCGAAAUCCUUCAUCUAAUCUGGCAAACACAUGUGGC